RNAcentral lists this small nucleolar RNA (207 nucleotides) under Labrus bergylta (ballan wrasse). RNAcentral describes it as "Small nucleolar RNA U3 (ENSLBEG00000005365.1)". It matches the Rfam family "Small nucleolar RNA U3". Rfam says of the family: Small nucleolar RNAs (snoRNAs) are involved in the processing and modification of rRNA in the nucleolus. There are two main classes of snoRNAs: the box C/D class, and the box H/ACA class. The record is from Rfam by way of RNAcentral. Lineage: Eukaryota; Metazoa; Chordata; Actinopteri; Labriformes; Labridae.
AAGACUAUACUUUCAGGGAUCAUUUCUUUAGUUGUUGAUUUGAGAAAUGUGUUUCGAAAGAGUUCGGUCUCGCUGUCCACAAUGAAGAAUUCAGAUGUUUCCUUCAGAGCAGAAAACUGGUGGGAAGAUUUUGUUUCUUCUUCAUUAUUGAAGAUUGUUCAGAGUUUCUGAAAGACUCUCUAAAGGAGGAAACAUGAUCUGAGUGGA